This 253-nucleotide ribosomal RNA is filed under the name uncultured bacterium. Its description in RNAcentral is "partial 16S ribosomal RNA". It matches the Rfam family "Bacterial small subunit ribosomal RNA", at positions 524 to 776 of the family's 1533-position model. The record is from RNAcentral.
UACGUAGGGUGCGAGCGUUAAUCGGAAUUACUGGGCGUAAAGCGUGCGCAGGCGGUUCGUUGUGUCGGUGGUGAAAGCCCCGGGCUUAACCUGGGAAUGGCCAUGGAAACUGGCGAACUGGAGUGCGGUAGAGGAGAGUGGAAUUCCCGGUGUAGCAGUGAAAUGCGUAGAGAUCGGGAGGAACAUCAGUUGCGAAGGCGGCUCUCUGGACCAGCACUGACACUGAGGCACGAAAGCGUGGGGAGCAAACAGG